RNAcentral lists this ribosomal RNA (468 nucleotides) under uncultured bacterium. RNAcentral's name for it is "partial 16S ribosomal RNA". It matches the Rfam family "Bacterial small subunit ribosomal RNA", at positions 28 to 507 of the family's 1533-position model. The record is from RNAcentral.
GAUGAACGCUGGCGGCGUGCUUAACACAUGCAAGUCGAACGGAAAGGCCGAAGCUUGCUUCGGUACUCGAGUGGCGAACGGGUGAGUAACACGUGGGUGAUCUGCCCUGUACUUCGGGAUAAGCUUGGGAAACUGGGUCUAAUACCGGAUAUGACGAUCUCGUGGAUGGGGUUGUGGAAAGCUUUUGCGGUAUGGGAUGAGCUCGCGGCCUAUCAGCUUGUUGGUGGGGGAAUGGCCUACCAAGGCGUCGACGGGUAGCCGGCCUGAGAGGGUGUACGGCCACAUUGGGACUGAGAUACGGCCCAGACUCCUACGGGAGGCAGCAGUGGGGAAUAUUGCACAAUGGGCGCAAGCCUGAUGCAGCGACGCCGCGUGGGGGAUGACGGCCUUCGGGUUGUAAACUCCUUUCGCAAUCGACGAAGCCUUUUGGUGACGGUAGGUUGAGAAGAAGCACCGGCUAACUACGUG